This is an RNA transcript of Zingiber officinale, 1541 nucleotides long. RefSeq lists it as uncharacterized. The transcript has 4 exons. The record is from RefSeq and is a predicted model, not a curated record. Lineage: Eukaryota; Viridiplantae; Streptophyta; Magnoliopsida; Zingiberales; Zingiberaceae.
CAUGAACUGAACGGCGUAAAGCCGUUCGUUGCCCAUCAGACGUCUGUUAAAAAAAAAACAGCUUUUUUGCUCACAAAACGCCCCACAAAUCCAGCUCUGGCGUCGGAGAACCCGAGACAAAUAGCAACGGAUCGAACUCAGCGAGAGCCGGAUCAGGUCCGAAAACCGCAGGCUGGACAAAGCCGUCCGGAUCAAGCGACGAUGAUUCGCCGAGGGUCGGGAGAGGAAAGUUCCCUGCCGCCUCCGGCGGAUACAGCGGGGACGCUGCUGCGGCCGUCGAGGUGGCGCCGGUGACUCGCUGGACCAAUUCGCGGAAGUGGGCCGGGUCCGCAGUGAAGUAAGCGACCGGCGAGCGCUUGGAGUUGGAGGCCUGCGACUUGCGCUUCUUCGGUAGGCGCUCGUCGGCAGGCGCAUCCCGGUGAGUCGGCCUCGGGUGGGAGGUGCCGACGACUGAGGAAGUGGAGCCAGAGAGGAGGGAGGGGGCGUCGCUGUCGCCCGAGAAGGCGUAGGGGCGGUGGUGCACCCACGGUUCUGGGAUCGCGCUGUUCUCCAUCUUCGAUCUCCGCUCGACGAUUAAGUUUUUUUUUCAGCGUUAUAGUUUCGCCACGUCACGUGCGGGGUGCCCUCCGCAGUGGCGUUGCCACUGGGUCGUCGAGGCGGCGUAGUCGACAGCUUGAGCGGAGCACGGAUCCUCUGCGCCCGCGUCCCCUGCGCCCUCUGCGUCCGUCGCUACACGACAAAAAAAAGCACGUGCUUAGCGCAUGUAUUUCUCGGCGCCAACAUCGCCCGAAAAGAAAUGCUCCGUCAGCGCAAAAAAAAUAAGCAAACCCUAAGCCCCUCUUCUCCUCUCCACUUCUUCUCCAGCCGACGACGCAAACAUGUUCCAUGGAGGGAGGCUGAUCGUUGGUUCGCCGAGAGGUAUGCCCUUGAAAGGCCACCUCGCUUCUAGCUCUACACAGAUUCUCUUUGUGUUUCCCUGUGCUCCUCUUCGCUUCUCCAGCCGACGCCAGCCCUCCUCCUCUGCGCCUACGACCGGAGGUAACACCUACAACCCUGUGGAGAAGAAUCAGGUGGAGGAUCCGUGCCCGUGGAGAAGAAUCACGUGCUUACUCUUGCCAACGAGGACCUCGCAAGCCCUAGCUCCCCGCCGAUUCCCUCUACGCCCAGCACCCGUGUGCCCUCUUCGCCCGUCGAAGUGUCUCCUCCUCUUCGCCCGCAGCUCCCCUGUGCGCCUACUCUCUCCUAGGAAUAUGGUAAUACUGAUGUUGAAGGCGUUGACUCAACAAAUGCAUGCUAUGGUGGAACAGCUGCCUUAUUUAAUUGUGUUAACUGGGUAGAAAGUAGCUAAUGGGAUGGACGCUACGGAUUGGAUGUCUAGAGCAAAAGCUUUUAGUAAUUGCUGUGGUUGUUGUUGCUGCUGCUGCUGCAAGUGUGCAGUUUGGGCAUCUAAUUUUACCAUAGGAACUACAAGUAUAGACCAUGUAAAUAUUUCAUAAUUGUGCCUUUGUUUAAUCCUGAAAGGAAAGUGUUGUGUGAUCCAA